This 163-nucleotide ribosomal RNA is filed under the name uncultured bacterium. RNAcentral describes it as "partial 16S rRNA". It matches the Rfam family "Bacterial small subunit ribosomal RNA", at positions 355 to 511 of the family's 1533-position model. The record is from RNAcentral.
UAGGGAAUCUUCCACAAUGGACGAAGGCCUGAUGGAGCAACGCCGCGUGAGUGAAGAAGGGUUUCGGCUCGUAAAACUCUGUUGUUAAAGAAGAACAUAUCUGAGAGUAACUGUUCAGGUAUUGACGGUAUUAACCAGAAAGCCACGGCUAACUACGUGCCAG